UGGGGGAGAAAAGCGCGCGGAUACCGGAUAUUUUCGCGUGGCUGUGGUCACGUGUGGAGCGCUUGGUCAAAAUCCCUAAAACAGGGUCCGGUCUUCCCCCAUCGGUCUGCUCCUCCCACUCCCACGACCAGCGCCGCCGCUUGCCCCCGUGUCCGCCGUCCAGUUCUGAUCCGCCGACUCCCUCUCCAUCGAGCGCCGCCCACAUCGCCGUUGAGCACCGACUCCACGCCUCCAGCACAGCCUCCCUCCCCAUCUAGCGCGGCCCCCAUCGCCGGCGACUUCCAGAUCCGCCUCCCUGGCCGGCGAACUUCCAGAUCUGCGUCCCUGGCCGGCGAACUUCCAGAUCCACCUCCGUCGCCGUGUGGAGGUGGCUCCCUCCCCGACCAGUGAGUGCCCGUCUUCUCCUCCCCCCUCCCCAUCUAUUGCUGUUCCAAAUAAUUUACAUGUGCUGCAGCAAUAUGUUCAUUGUUUAGUACACUAUUCUUGAGAUUAAAACAAUGAUGUUUUGUUGUUCUUCUGAAAGGAUUGAGUGCAACAGCCAUGGGGUAUUAUAGUCGCCAUCUGUCUAGGUAGUGUGCUGCGCAAUUUUAAGUUUGUGCAUACAUUAAAUCGGGUUGUUCCUCAAUUGGUCUCAUUGAUGAGUUGUGAUACAUAUCUGUAUGCGUGUCAAUGCCUGCAAGCUGUAGGUUAUGUCCCCUGUUCAGGAAGGUGCAGUUUACGUAUGCAUGCUUUAUUGUUUUCUCUUCAUUGAAGGUCUUACAAAAUCAGGAAGUUGUAGCGCUACAAAGGCCAAGUUUGAGAAGUGACAUUGCCACACCUCAACCCUCUCGAUCAAGAAGUCCAAUCCAGGCAUGUUGGUAAGUUCCACUCAUGGAAAGUUUGUUGAAAGAGCAUGUUUUCAUAUGUAGGAAAGAAAGUAUGGGCCUGCAGCAGCAACAAACUUGAACACUACAAUUAUUGUUAAUCUGAAAUUAAAGCGACAUGCUAUGUCCAUGGUUUCAGAAGAACCCACCACAAAGCAUCUUCAAGACGCACAUCCAGUAUAUUGGAAGGAACGUCAUCUCGAUCUUCAAAGUUAUGUUCCUGGUACUUCUUCAUAGUUGCAGUCUGCACUUGGCACCAAGAAAAGACCUUUUCAUUUGUUUGGUGACUAAUAGCAUGUGUGUCAUGAGCUGGAGUUUACCUUUGUGUUUGAAAACUUGUAUACAUAUAUUACAGUUUUGCCUUUCACCAUUGUUCAUUGAAAUAUGCUAUAUUCUUUUCCAUUGUAGGUGAAUUGAUCCUUCCAAGCCCAAGAGGAUGCCGGUACUCCGCUGGCAGAUCCUUCCCAUGCUGAAGGCCAUGUUCAUGCUACUCAUCUGGAUGAGCAUGGUUCUACCCCAAGACAGGAUAUAUACCAUUUGUUGCACUACAGUUGGUAUAUAGCAAGAUGGAUAAGAAAUACCCAAGAGCUUCUUCCUUUUCAAGAUUAGAAGAUGAAUGAUAGUGAUACGGUAAGUUGUUGUUAUGAUCCCCAAUUCCUCUAUGCACAAACUUGACAAUGGUUGUGAUCAUGUUACUUCUAUGGUUAGCAAAGUAAACUGCAGCUGAAUUAUACAAGUAGAGCAAUGUAGUAUAGUGCAUGUAAGAUUGUGGUGUCAUCAAAACAGGGAUGCAUCAAACUAGUUCAUGUGUUAAUAAUUUAUGAUAUGAAACAAUCUAUUUAAUCAGUGCCUGUGUAUUUCAAUUAGUGGUUGCUGCUUGCUUAUGUGCUGCUCUGUUUCUUUCUGUGUAAAUGUGGUGCUAGUUCUGUCCUUGUAGUGUAGUGCCAGUGCAGUGCACAACUGCAUAUAUAUGUCUUUUACACAUAUUUGCUCUGACUGUGCUAUAGGUCUUAUUGAUGAUUUGCACAUAAACCUAACUGUUUGUCGCACUAUAGAUGCUAUAUAGCAAGCUGGAAUGGUUUCGAAUGUGCAUGGUAUUGACAUUUUAUUCAUGUAUUAAAAUAUUUGACAACCUCAACAAGUAGAGGAGCAAGUUCAAGUACGAAAGGUGCAUGGUCUUGGCUUUCAGUUUGGAUUGGAUUAUAAACAUUUAUUUUAUUUCCUUUUCUUCCUUGUACGUUAUGUUCCUGUUAGCUCUUCAUAAGUGCAGCCUACACUUAGCUUUAAUAAAAGACUUCUUCACUUGCUUGGUGGAUAACAACAUGUGUGUGUCGUGAACUGAAGUUUCCUUUUGGUUUGUAAACUUGUUCAUGCUGCCCAAGUGUUUGUGUAUUUCAGUUAGUGGUUGCUGCCUUCUUAAGUGACUGUGUACUGCAACCAUGUAGUCAGUAUAACUUAGUUCAUGAUUUAAGUUGUCAUACAAAAUUAAAUAUGUUCUCUGUACAUGUUAGCUUAUAAUUUUAGGAAAUGAUUCACUAUGACUGGUGAGAUCCAUUUAUAGAUCAUUUAGAGUUUCUAAUUUCUAUUCCAGUCAGUUUUCAUUAAUGUGUUCUUGCAACAAAAAAACAUUGUCUUAAACUCUUAAUAUUAUAUCUAAGGACUGCAUUUCUGAGUAUGUCUCCAGUUAUUCUAAUUUCCUUCAUGAAUACAGCUUCUGAGAAGAAAUCGUUCCAGGUACUGGGCGUAGUGGUGAUGGAGACAUAGACUUGUAAGACCCUUGGGUGGGCGAACGCCCUUGAGCACCUCCACUUGAACUUCUGGUGAGCAAGUCUGUAAGGAACCACCCCAGGACAGUUCCAGUCAUAUUAGUCUUUUCUUAUCAGCUAGCUUUGCAUCGUCUGCUUCCUUCUUGUUUUUGACAUAUUCAAGAUGAUGAAUUUUCAGAUUACCUUGCAGCUUGUUUAGGCUCCCCAACUGUUUUAGCUCAUGCCCAUGUUUUGUCCUUACUUGAGAUACAACAAGUUCUUGUAGUAAUGUUAAACUACCGAUGUUCGGAACUUGCAUUGCAAAGCUAUAAAUAUGACGCUUACUGCUAGUUUUCUACAUGUAGUGCUAGUUCUGUACAUGCAGUUUAGUGCUUGUCAUACUUAGAUUUUUCCUAUGAAGUGAUGAUUUUUUUUGCUACCACGUAAAGUUGUGAAGGUGGUUGGUCAUGACAAAUUUUCAUUUGCCAUGAAAACUAUGGGUAUAGGGCAUUGGAUGGCAAUCAUUUAAUUUUUCUUGCCUUUUUUUAAUUAUGUUCAUGUUACAUUUAAUUGCAGCCUAUACUUGGCAAUAAGAAAAGCCAUGAGCUGUAGUUUACCUUUUGGUUUGAAAGCUUGUACAUAUCACAGUUUUGCCUUUCACCGUUGUUCAUUAAAAUCUCCUAUAUUUUUCUAUUGUAUAGGUGAAUGGAACAUUCCAAGCCCAAGGGAAUGCACUCCAUUAACAGAAUCUUCCCAUGAUGGAAGACCAUCCUCAUGCUACUCAUGUGGAUGAGCAUAGUUCUACUCCAACAUUUAGAAAUUCCAGUAGUAUAAUUAGUUGUUAAUAUUGUGAAAUAGGGUGCAGGUAGGCUUUCUUUGUCAAUUGCUUCUCUUGGCAAUUUAGGAAUCAACCAGUAUGCGUGUUUCGUAUUUGGUGACACCUCCUGUUAAGUUAAGGCUCCAUGAAUCAUGACUUGGAUAUGAAUAUGUAGAUCUUGUGAAUAACGAGAUUUAAAUAAAUUGGAUGGGUACAUUGUGACCUAGGAAUUGGAUGUGAUUUUAAACCGGGUUAUAUGAUCUUUGUGUAUACAUGAAUGUGAAAUGAUUUGGCAUGUGGCUAUGAAUAUAUACACCGCUUUCCAAUAAUAUUUUUAUUUGCUCUUGG
Molecule: long non-coding RNA, 3773 nt
Filed under: Triticum aestivum (bread wheat)
Lineage: Eukaryota; Viridiplantae; Streptophyta; Magnoliopsida; Poales; Poaceae
Description: long non-coding RNA (TAES_LNC007748)
Source: RNAcentral